UCCCCCGGGCGGGGCAGGGAUCAUCCCCGGGGCGGAGAUCGCGGAGCCUGAGCUGCAUCCCGCCCGUGGUCGGGCGUUCCGGGAGCACAUCCCGCCCGUGGCCGGGCGGUCCGGGAGCACGUCCCCGCCCGGGGGGAGGGAGGGAGCGGAGCUGUUGAGUCAGCCCAGCAGAGCCGCCUGGCAGAGCGCAGGGAGGCCGAGCCCGGCCAGCUGCCAAGGACGGAAUCGCGGAGCGCAGGGAAAAUGGUCUGAGUAAUAAUCAACGCCUGCCGCUAUGUGGCCAGGAAGAUGAGGACCCUGUGGAGCCGGGAGCGCCGGGAGCCACCGCCCUGCCCGGCACAGGCAGCGCCACAAAGCCAUCGGCAGGAUGUAAAAGCAGAGCUGCCAACACCCCCUGAAGCACCAGCCUCACUCCCCAGCAACAUCAAACCUAUCCAGUGCAGGUCCUGACGAUAAAAGCCCUCGUGGUCCUCCCAUGAAGGCCACGAGAUUUCUUCCCAGUGAUUUUUGCUGGAAAUCCUGAAUCCCAGGGAUUGGAAAAUAUCAGCAAAUCCCUGCAGUAUCUGCUCUCAGCAGCACAUUGAUAGAAAAUGUACUGAUCAGUGUCUCAUGACCAGGAGUUUCUAGUUGGCAGAAAAAAAAAAGAUUUCCAAUGUGUAUUAGAUGCUCCUGGCACCCGUGGGCCAUGGAAUACCAGAGGAAUCCCAGCAGGAAAUUUGAUUUUUAUACUGUGAAACCAAAUUAUGCUCCCAGUGAUAUUGGUACAAAUGCAGACAAUUUCCACAAGAGCGAAAUCAGUUCCUGAGCUGGAGUUUUGGAGCUCAGGUGUGUGGGAAUCCCUUCCAGCACCCAGGUGACGUGCAGCACCCCCAGAGCAGAGGCUGCAGGGACCAGAGCAGGAUGUGCCCCCAGCCCUGCCCUGUCACAGAGCAAUGACAGCAGAACCCCAAACCCCACACGUGUGGGGGGAAUUCUGCCUGACCCCCUCCUGUGACUGCUCAACCAGAAGUAAAGGUGGAUGAAAAUCAGCUGGUUGGGAGUGUGGUGGUUUUCCUUCUGGAACGAGUUUGGUGGCACUGCAGUGCUUGGGAUCCUGCACUGGAAGCAUGGGGGAUAAGGGGAUCCUUCGUUGGGGCUCACUGAUAAGGGAAUCCUUUGUUGGAGGGGGUCACUGAUAAGGGGGUCCUUUGUUGAGAGUCACUGAUAAGAGGAUCAUGUGUUAGGGGUCACUGAUAAGGGCAUCCUUUGUUGGGAGUCACUGAUAAGAGGAUCAUGUGUUAGGGCUCUGAUAAGGGGAUGAUGUAUUAGGGCUCACUGAUAAGGGGAUUCUUUGUUGGGGUCACUGAUAAGGGGAUCAUGUAUUAAGGGUCACUGAUAAGGGGAUCAUGUGUCAGGGGUCACUGAUAAGGGGAUGAUGUAUUAGGGCUCAUUGAUAAGGGGAUCCUUUGUUGGAGG
RNAcentral lists this long non-coding RNA (1455 nucleotides) under Cyanoderma ruficeps (rufous-capped babbler). RNAcentral's name for it is "lncRNA (ENSCRFG00000014958.1)". The record is from RNAcentral. Lineage: Eukaryota; Metazoa; Chordata; Aves; Passeriformes; Timaliidae.